This 305-nucleotide ribosomal RNA is filed under the name uncultured bacterium. Its description in RNAcentral is "bacterial SSU rRNA". It matches the Rfam family "Bacterial small subunit ribosomal RNA", at positions 335 to 657 of the family's 1533-position model. The record is from RNAcentral.
CCUCCUACGGGACGCAGCAGUGGGGAAUAUUGCGCAAUGGGGGAAACCCUGACGCAGCAACGCCGCGUGCAGGAAGAAGGUCUUCGGAUUGUAAACCUCUGUGGAGGGGGACGAUAAUGACGGUACCCCUUUAGGAAGCCACGGCUAACUACGUGCCAGCAGCCGCGGUAAUACGUAGGUGGCGAGCGUUGUCCGGAAUUACUGGAUGUAAAGGGAGUGUAGGCGGGAAAGCAAGUCAGAAGUGAAAACUAUGGGCUUAACCCAUAGCCUGCUUUUGAAACUGUUUUUCUUUAGUGAAGUAGAGG